RNAcentral lists this ribosomal RNA (253 nucleotides) under uncultured bacterium. RNAcentral describes it as "partial 16S ribosomal RNA". It matches the Rfam family "Bacterial small subunit ribosomal RNA", at positions 524 to 776 of the family's 1533-position model. The record is from RNAcentral.
UACGAAGGGGGCUAGUGUUGCCCGGAAUCACUGGGCGUAAAGCGCACGUAGGCGGCUUGUUAAGUCAGGGGUGAAAUCCUGGAGCUCAACUCCAGAACUGCCUUUGAUACUGGCGAGCUUGAGUUCGGGAGAGGUGAGUGGAACUGCGAGUGUAGAGGUGAAAUUCGUAGAUAUUCGCAAGAACACCAGUGGCGAAGGCGGCUCACUGGCCCGAUACUGACGCUGAGGCACGAAAGCGUGGGGAGCAAACAGG